RNAcentral lists this ribosomal RNA (909 nucleotides) under uncultured bacterium. Its description in RNAcentral is "bacterial SSU rRNA". It matches the Rfam family "Bacterial small subunit ribosomal RNA", at positions 70 to 975 of the family's 1533-position model. The record is from RNAcentral.
UGAGGAAAGCUUGCUUUCCUUGAUGACGACUGGCGCACGAGUGAGUAACGCGUAUCCAACCUUCCCAUAACUACGGGAUAACCCGUUGAAAGACGGCCUAAUACCGUAUGACAUCGUUUGCUGACAUCAAAUAACGAUUAAAGGUUUAGCGGUUAUGGAUGGGGAUGCGUCUGAUUAGCUUGUUGGCGGGGUAACGGCCCACCAAGGCUACGAUCAGUAGGGGUUCUGAGAGGAAGGUCCCCCACAUUGGAACUGAGACACGGUCCAAACUCCUACGGGAGGCAGCAGUGAGGAAUAUUGGUCAAUGGGCGAGAGCCUGAACCAGCCAAGUAGCGUGCAGGAUGACGGCCCUAUGGGUUGUAAACUGCUUUUAUGUGGGGAUAAAGUGCGUGACGUGUCAUGCAUUGCAGGUACCACAUGAAUAAGGACCGGCUAAUUCCGUGCCAGCAGCCGCGGUAAUACGGAAGGUCCGGGCGUUAUCCGGAUUUAUUGGGUUUAAAGGGAGCGUAGGCUGUCUAUUAAGCGUGUUGUGAAAUUUACCGGCUCAACCGGUGGCUUGCAGCGCGAACUGGUUGACUUGAGUAUGCAGGAAGUAGGCGGAAUUCAUGGUGUAGCGGUGAAAUGCUUAGAUAUCAUGACGAACUCCGAUUGCGCAGGCAGCUUACUGUAGCAUAACUGACGCUGAUGCUCGAAAGUGCGGGUAUCAAACAGGAUUAGAUACCCUGGUAGUCCGCACGGUAAACGAUGGAUGCUCGCUAUUCGUCCUAUUUGGAUGAGUGGCCAAGUGAAAACAUUAAGCAUCCCACCUGGGGAGUACGCCGGCAACGGUGAAACUCAAAGGAAUUGACGGGGGCCUGCACAAGCGGAGGAACAUGUGGUUUAAUUCGAUGAUACGCGAGGAACCUUACC